The submitters of this non-coding RNA (94 nucleotides) gave its source as unclassified sequences. The record is from Rfam.
CUCGCCGCNGGGGCCGGGUUCGACGCCGCAACGGCCGUCGACGCCGCGCCCCGGGACGAGACGACAUGUGGCCGCUUCGCGGCUGAAUCGCAAC